Long non-coding RNA from Mesocricetus auratus (golden hamster), 1345 nucleotides. RefSeq lists it as uncharacterized. The record is from RefSeq and is a predicted model, not a curated record. Lineage: Eukaryota; Metazoa; Chordata; Mammalia; Rodentia; Cricetidae. The transcript is spliced from 2 exons.
CCCAAGUUGCUUUUGGUCCUGGGGUUUCAACACAGCAAGAAAAACCCUAAGACAGCUAUAAAAUGUAUGCUUUUUAACGUAAAAAAAAAUAAGGUGAGGGGAUUAGCAAUUUUAGGUGGCUGAGUGCUGAUUCAAGACUAGGCUAAUGUGACGCAUUACCAUACUCCAAGCACUCAGGAGGCUGAGGCAGGAGGAUGCUGACUUUGAGGCCAGCUUGAACUACAGAGCAAAGCUCUGCCCUGAAUGAACAAAAGAAAAGGAAAAAGUAGGUCUCAGAGAUAUUUUUUAUUCCUUUUUUCCCCUGGACAUCUUCCUUGUAAGCAGUCACUGGGAGGUAAAGCUAGUCAAUUUCCAGUGAGAUUCCUCACACUGGGACGGAGAUGAGAAGGAAGCUCUAAAGACAGAGGACUCCAGCCAGGUGCUGAUUGAUCUCUGGUGGGAGCUAAGCGAAGGCGGCUCUCAGAGCAUGAGCGCAAAACCCAGUUUCUAAAACCUCGCACUUGACCAAAUGGGAGGCCCUCCUCUGCUCAGCAUCGUUGACCUCUGUCUUGAUAACUCAGCUCUGGCAUGACUCCUUCCAGAACCUCCCUGGGUAGAAGGAGCUGGUGUCCUAGAACAAAGUUCUGUGCAGAGGACAGCAUCUGCUCAGAUUCCCCAGGAACCAAGACUUCAGGACCUGGGAGCUCAGCCACUGAGGCUGACCUGGCUGGACCAUUCCAGAAGGAAAGAAGAAAUGGAAAUCAAGCACACCUCUGAAACAGUCUCAAGAACACAGCCACACAGCUACGAGACCAUCACAGUUAUACACUUCAAGGGCUAGGGGGUCAGUUCCCUCUCUAGUGCAUAAACUAAAUCUGGUCCAAGUCUGUUUAGUCAAUCAAGUUUUAUUGGGGCCCAUAAAGUUUUAUGGUGUCUUGGUUAACUGCAAUUGUCAACUUGACACCUAGAACUAUUAGGUGGGGGGAGGGACUCUCAACUGAAGAAUUGCCUGGGCCAGAUUGGACAUGUCUGGGGGGGGUCUUGAUUAUAAGUUGGUGGAUGAGGGUUCAGCUGGGGUGCACCAUUCCCUAGGCCUUGGUCCUGAACUGUGUAUGAAGGCUAGCUGAGCAUAAGCCUUCUUGACAGGCAGCAAGCAGCCUCUUCCCUGGUUCCUGCUCCACUUCCUUGGGUGUGAGUGAGUUUCUGCAGGUUUUACAGCUCCCAAUAAAACAAACAGUUGCUUAAAAGCCCAAGCAUACUGACUUACAGAGAACAAAAAUCACCAGACAACAUACAUAGUAUGAGCUUUCAUACACAAACAGUAUUUCAACAUAAAUGUGUAUAAAUACAUGACUAUCAAUGCUUA